AACUCAAAGGAAUUGACGGGGGCCCGCACAAGCGGAGGAACAUGUGGUUUAAUUCGAUGAUACGCGAGGAACCUUACCCGGGCUUGAAAUGCAUCUGACCGGCCUUGAAAGAGGUUUUCCCUUCGGGGCAGAUGUGUAGGUGCUGCAUGGUUGUCGUCAGCUCGUGCCGUGAGGUGUCGGCUUAAGUCCGUAACGAGCGCAACCCUUGUCCUUAGUUACCAGCACGUUAUGGUGGGCACUCUAAGGAGACUGCCGGUGACAAACCGGAGGAAGGUGGGGAUGACGUCAAGUCAUCAUGGCCCUUACGGCCUGGGCUACACACGUGCUACAAUGGUCGGUACAAAGGGUUGCCAAGCCGCGAGGUGGAGCUAAUCCCAUAAAACCGAUCGUAGUCCGGAUCGCAGUCUGCAACUCGACUGCGUGAAGUCGGAAUCGCUAGUAAUCGUGAAUCAGAAUGUCACGGUGAAUACGUUCCCGGGCCUU
Molecule: ribosomal RNA, 483 nt
Filed under: uncultured Pseudomonas sp.
Lineage: Bacteria; Pseudomonadati; Pseudomonadota; Gammaproteobacteria; Pseudomonadales; Pseudomonadaceae
Description: bacterial SSU rRNA
Rfam family: Bacterial small subunit ribosomal RNA
Source: RNAcentral